This 306-nucleotide long non-coding RNA is filed under the name Elaeis guineensis (African oil palm). Its description in RNAcentral is "long non-coding RNA (EGUI_LNC025678)". The record is from RNAcentral. Lineage: Eukaryota; Viridiplantae; Streptophyta; Magnoliopsida; Arecales; Arecaceae.
CUCAUUGCUUGCCCUUUUACUUAUGAGUUGCCAGGUGCAACUACUUGCAAGAUAAAUUAAUUUAUUUUGCUACUUUAUUUAGUUUUCUCAUAAAACUCCUUUUUCGUAAAAGUAGAAUAUUAUUAUAAUUAGUAGGCUUCACCAAACCCAACCGUCUAAUGUUUUUCUUUUUCCAAUCUAAGUCUUGUUUCUCUAAUAAAGCAUGAUAUACGUAGGAGGCGGGCCGAGGUAGCUUGGGACACCCACUGCUGCACAAUGCUUGAAAAAGUGCUGAGAGGGUGUUCUUCCCCAGAUAUUCAGCACACU